CCUAGAGUUGUAGGCUUUGCCUGCUAUCUCUUACCCAUGCCUUUGAGUACCUUCGUUUCCUCGGCGGGUCCGCCCGCCGAUUGGACAAUUUAAACCAUUUGCAGUUGCAAUCAGCGUCUGAAAAAACUUAAUAGUCA
This 137-nucleotide unclassified non-coding RNA is filed under the name soil metagenome. RNAcentral's name for it is "partial internal transcribed spacer 1". The record is from RNAcentral.